UUAUCUGAACCUUCGGGGAACGAUAACGGCGUCGAGCGGCGGACGGGUGAGUAAUGCCUAGGAAAUUGCCCUGAUGUGGGGGAUAACCAUUGGAAACGAUGGCUAAUACCGCAUAAUGCCUACGGGCCAAAGAGGGGGACCUUCGGGCCUCUCGCGUCAGGAUAUGCCUAGGUGGGAUUAGCUAGUUGGUGAGGUAAGGGCUCACCAAGGCGACGAUCCCUAGCUGGUCUGAGAGGAUGAUCAGCCACACUGGAACUGAGACACGGUCCAGACUCCUACGGGAGGCAGCAGUGGGGAAUAUUGCACAAUGGGCGCAAGCCUGAUGCAGCCAUGCCGCGUGUGUGAAGAAGGCCUUCGGGUUGUAAAGCACUUUCAGUCGUGAGGAAGGUAGUGUAGUUAAUAGCUGCAUUAUUUGACGUUAGCGACAGAAGAAGCACCGGCUAACUCCGUGCCAGCAGCCGCGGUAAUACGGAGGGUGCGAGCGUUAAUCGGAAUUACUGGGCGUAAAGCGCAUGCAGGUGGUUUGUUAAGUCAGAUGUGAAAGCCCGGGGCUCAACCUCGGAAUUGCAUUUGAAACUGGCAGACUAGAGUACUGUAGAGGGGGGUAGAAUUUCAGGUGUAGCGGUGAAAUGCGUAGAGAUCUGAAGGAAUACCGGUGGCGAAGGCGGCCCCCUGGACAGAUACUGACACUCAGAUG
RNAcentral lists this ribosomal RNA (697 nucleotides) under Vibrio campbellii. RNAcentral's name for it is "bacterial SSU rRNA". It matches the Rfam family "Bacterial small subunit ribosomal RNA", at positions 71 to 753 of the family's 1533-position model. Lineage: Bacteria; Pseudomonadati; Pseudomonadota; Gammaproteobacteria; Vibrionales; Vibrionaceae. The record is from RNAcentral.